Talpa occidentalis (Iberian mole) is the source of this 619-nucleotide long non-coding RNA. RefSeq lists it as uncharacterized. The record is from RefSeq and is a predicted model, not a curated record. Lineage: Eukaryota; Metazoa; Chordata; Mammalia; Eulipotyphla; Talpidae. The transcript is spliced from 3 exons.
CUGACAUGUACUGAGGUCGUUGCACUUGGUAAAGAAACUGCAGCCAAGAGCUAGGAAGGCCGCUGUGCCUGCUGUUCCCAGGAGCUCAGGCUUCCAGCGUCACCAAGGACACCCAAAGCCUUCACCUCUGCGUCUGCCGGACAAACGAGCAAGCUGACCAGCCCCCACCCGACACGAAGGGCCUGGGCUCACCUGCAGUGGAAGGAGAGUCUUCAACCAGACCCACCUUCACCACCUGCGAGGAAGGAGAUACCGCGUUAGGUCCGCCCCCGAGCUGGACGUGGUCGGAAGCAGCAGGGAACAGGGUCGGGCACAGCAGCGGCUACUGCGAGUUAUUCACAGGCUUUCAGAAUCUUGGCAAAUCCAGAGGAGCCCAGAGAAGUGGAAAAACCUUUGCAGCUUUCAAGGGGGCAAAGCCACCUUGAAUGAAGGCACGAAACAUGUUCGUAUCCUGAUGUCACUUCCUGUACGCGACAGGCAGGAGGCCAGCAGGCCCCGUCCUCCUGUCCUGGGCAGACAAGUGCCCCCGAGAGCGAGGUGAGACAGGUGGCGCGGGCGGGGCUCCCCGGGCAAGGCCUGCCUGCUGCUCCGUGAGUACAGCAUCCAGGGCGACACCGGC